AGCAAAUAGUAAAGUUAUGCUAUAGGUCACUCAGCCACAGAAGGAGCUUUUAAGGAGGUCAAGCAAACAAAAUUUAAGGAGAUUCACAGAGGUUUCCUGGAGAAGGUGCUGAUGGAGCUCAUCUCUAAAGAAGAGUAUGCAAGAUUAGGCAACAGGGAAGCAUUCUUUUCUUGAGGAAAAAACAGAUGUUGAAAGGCAAAGUGAUAGACUCUGUUGGUGGUGUUGGAAUGUAAAGCAGGAGGUGGUUUGUGAUAAAGAAGAGGUAGUCUGAAUUGGAUUCCAAAGGCCCUUGCAUUCCCAAAUGUUUAUCGAGAACCUAUAUUGUGCCAGGCACCCUUCAAGAAAUCCAUGACCCAGCACUGACUGUGGCAAAUGAGCUUUCCAUUGGAACUUCCAUUAGGUUGGGAGGAAACAGAAAACAAAACGGUAAGCCUGAGCUUUAGAGAUACUUGGAGACUGCGAUUGGUUUGCCAGGGAAGUAACUAGGGCAAUGUCAACAAAGUGAGAGAUGCUGGGGAAAGAGUACAUAGGGCAAGUGAGGAUGGUUUUUCUGGACACGGGACAUGAAACUGGGAGGGUGAAAAGGAACAUUCCUUGUGUAGAACCCAGGGAAGUGCAUGCCUAGAAGGGGGAAUGGAAUGUGCAAAGGUCAUGAGUCCCUGAGCCGUGAGAACGUCCUCCCCCAUGGCUGGUGCAGUGCGCAGAGUCCUCCCUCACCCAUGGCUGGUGCAGUGCGCAGAGUCCUCCCUCACCCAUGGCGGGUGCAGUGCGCGGAGUCCUCCCUCACCCAUGGCUGGUGCAGUGCGCAGAGUCCUCCUUCCCUCACCUGCUCUAUCUCCUCCCUCACUUCCACUUCCCAGAGAAAGUAGACUUCCCCAAUAAAGUUUCCAUGCCACA
Mustela lutreola (European mink) is the source of this 897-nucleotide long non-coding RNA. RefSeq lists it as uncharacterized. NCBI's taxonomy places the organism in Eukaryota, Metazoa, Chordata, Mammalia, Carnivora, Mustelidae. The record is from RefSeq and is a predicted model, not a curated record. The transcript is spliced from 2 exons.